UUACGACCAUAUCACGUUGAAACACCGGUUUCCGUACGAUCACCAAAGUUAAGCAACGUCAAGCCUAGUCAGUACCUAGAUGCAAGACCGAUUAGGAAUUAC
Non-coding RNA from Acanthosepion pharaonis, 102 nucleotides. Lineage: Eukaryota; Metazoa; Mollusca; Cephalopoda; Sepiida; Sepiidae. The record is from the annotation of a GenBank genome assembly.